AUACGUAGGGUGCGAGCGUUGUCCGGAAUUACUGGGCGUAAAGAGCUCGUAGGUGGUUUGUCGCGUCGUCUGUGAAAUUCCGGGGCUUAACUCCGGGCGUGCAGGCGAUACGGGCAUAACUUGAGUACUGUAGGGGAGACUGGAAUUCCUGGUGUAGCGGUGAAAUGCGCAGAUAUCAGGAGGAACACCGGUGGCGAAGGCGGGUCUCUGGGCAGUAACUGACGCCGAGGAGCGAAAGCAUGGGUAGCGAACAGGAUUAGAUACCCUGGUAGUCCAUGCCGUAAACGGUGGGCGCUAGGUGUAGGGGUCUUCCACGACUUCUGUGCCGUAGCUAACGCAUUAAGCGCCCCGCCUGGGGAGUACGGCCGCAAGGCUAAAACUCAAAGGAAUUGACGGGG
Molecule: ribosomal RNA, 398 nt
Filed under: uncultured bacterium
Lineage: Bacteria
Description: partial 16S ribosomal RNA
Rfam family: Bacterial small subunit ribosomal RNA
Source: RNAcentral